AGCCAACAUCGAAAAAUAUUCGCACAUUUCGAAAUUUGCCAAGCAAAUGCUAUGUUUGCCAUUGCCUAAUGUUAAAUGCGAAAGAAUAUUUUCCGAAAUCAAUAGAAUAAAAACAAAAGAUAGGAAUAGAUUCAUGAACAUAAAUGUUGCUUCGAUUCUAAAGAAGGAUUAAAGGAAGCUGGUGAAUGUAGCGAAUUUACUCCAGAUUCAGAAAAGUUGAAUAUGAUGAAUAAAAAUACACUUUAUGAAAAUAUGAAACUUUCUGAGAUAAAUAUAGGUAUGUACUUUUUUCAAUUUUAGGUAGACAACGUUAUUUUAUUGAUUUUCUAACUAUACUAUAUAUAUUUUUUAUUAUAUGUUGUAUUUUUGUAUAUAUUUUAAUAUGUGUAUAUUUUUUAGAUAUUAUUUUUACACUUUUGAAUGUAUAGGGGCCAAUAAUAUGUUAUGAUACAUAAAUUCACAUUAUGUUAUAAUGCUAUGAAUAAACCCGUUAUUUAUUUAUUUUAUAUUUGAAUCAGUAUUUUGUCAGUUUUAAAUAUCAUUGCUAAAUACCUACAAAUAUGGAUAUGCGCAUGCGCAAAGCUGAUAGUAGAUUUCUAUCAUCCUCGUAGUAGCACAGAUUACUAACCACAGAUUACUGUCUGUGGUAGUAGAUUCGCUUUUUGAAAGAUGGUCACACUACUCACCAGGGGGGUGAAACUCGUAGUACUAAAUUGGAAACAAAUAUUCUAUGCGCCUACCUAACAGAGAAUGAAAGAGAUAGAAGAUGUAUGGUUAUCUCUGUCGCUCAUGAUAAGAAGGAUAAUGUUCCAAAAUCCAAAUUGACAUUCGACAGUUGCAGUUAUAACCAAACAUUUUCGGAUAGUAGUAUUGAAAAAUAUUCAACAUUCGUUGAAAAAAAAAAUUUUAUCCGUUAAGACUGAUAUUAGAUAUUAUGUUAAUUUAUUUUUUGUUUGAAAAACCAACAUUUUUAUUAUUUAUCUUUGUCUGCACAACUUUUGGUCUAGUCUAAGGAUUGAAAUGAGUGCCUCAAAUCUUCGAUGGACGACUCCAUUGGUUAUGUACAUCCUAAAAUGGCUGUUUGAUUACUAUAUCAUCAAUUUUUAACAGAAUUAUAAAUGAUUGAAUGAAUUUGACCGGUAAAGGUCAAUAAUUAAUCAUGGAAAACCCAUUUAUUAGUUGCCGACGUGAAGCCAACAUACUUUAAAAUCCCAUAUAUCGCAGACCUCUCACAAAAAGCUCGUCAUUUUUCAAAAUACGAAGGGGUUGCAAUUGCUUUGAAACAUCAAAAUAGAUAAUUUUUUUACACUUUCAUAGACUUAAGUUUAUAUUUAAUAUUGUAUUCCUUCUUUCAGAGCCCUGAAGGUAUAACGAAACUGGUCGGCAACUUAUAAAUGGGAUUUCCAUGAUUAAUUUUUGACCUUUACCUGCUAAUUUCAUUCAAUCGUACAGUCAUUAUCAACCAACAAUAUUAUAAAUUAUGUACUGUAUAUCUGUUUGUUCCAUGUAGUGUGUCCAUUGAAAUAUUAGAUAGAAGUCAAAUAAUAUAGAGUGAAAUCAAUUUUUGUUUUUUUUACUAGUAGAAUUAAAGGCCGCUUACAUUUCAAACUUUCCUGCGGUAAUUUCAAAUUUUCCCGCCCUGAAGAAAGCCUAUUUCUCACUUUGCCCGUUGGUGUCGCUAGUGAGGACCUAAUCAAGAUGGCGGCUAUUUUGUUUCCACAGAUUAGUAGGGAGAUUGCAUUUCUUAUUAUUAGUAUUCUGUGCUACUCACACUACUUCCAGUUCUUUCUUCAGUUCACAGAUCCACACAUAGAACAAAAAUGGGUGGAACAACAACCCAACAUGUUUACAGUUCAUGAGAACUUUUGAAAGGCUUUUGCUACAGUUUUCCAAAGGAUGACAAAUUAAGGGAAAUGUAGAUGAAAGCUGUAGGAAGAAUUGAUUUCCACCCUUCUUCCUCGUUGAAAAUAUGCAGUAUGGAUUAAACAUACCAUCAUGCGGUUUUACGAAGAUCUGCAGAGGAAUUGAGAUAGCCAUAAAAAACUUUGAGUGUGACGGAUAAUAGAGUUCCUGCUGAAAACAAAUUUCUUAAUGCUUUUAUCACUGCCAAUGCUUAACAUUAUUACCCACUGAUGACUAAUUUAUUUCCUGAAUUAGAUGACCAUUUUUAUGAAUCAUCCCCUGUGGGUGUUAAUAAUGGAUUUCUAUUGAUCAAGGAGAUAGUAAAAGCCUAUUUCAAAACUAGGGUUUUCAAUCUUGCGAAAAAAUGUACUCAAAAAUACAAGGUCAAUCUGUUCGACAGCAGCUUACAAAAUUUAUUUUAUUUAAUCACCAAUAAUGUAUAUUAGGUAUAUUUCCCAUUCCUGCAUGAUGAAUUUGUCAAUUUUAAGUUCAGAGUCUCAAUUCAGAAAAACUAAUUUUUAAUAUUAUAUUUUCCAUUCACCACUGAUUUCAGGAUAAAUUUCUCCAGUUGAAAUUCUUAUUGUAAACUUCUCGAAUGUUUAAAUUGUCAAGAAUUAUUUUGUAUAGUAUUUUAGGCUUAAUUGCCACUAGUUACCAAUUUCACUUGUGGAUCAGAAAUAAAGACUUCAUAAUAUCAAUGACUUGCAGAACAUUGAUUAAUUUUCUAUUGUACAGUUUUUACUAUAUCAAAUAUAUAUUCUUUGUUUGUUAUAAAUUUCAUUGAAUAAUUCCAUUCAAGCUUAAACACUAGGUUUUACGCAAUAUACUCAUUAUCUCUAUGUUCGUGGAGGAGUAAAAUAUAAUUUUGAUACUAA
This is a long non-coding RNA of Harmonia axyridis, 2777 nucleotides long. RefSeq lists it as uncharacterized. NCBI's taxonomy places the organism in Eukaryota, Metazoa, Arthropoda, Insecta, Coleoptera, Coccinellidae. The record is from RefSeq and is a predicted model, not a curated record. The transcript is spliced from 4 exons.